GGCGGGCUGGGGGCGGAGCCCAAGCGAACAUUCACAACGAUCGUGAGACCGUAGCGACUGCUUCUGUCUGUGGUAUAGGUAUGGCGCCCGCGAGGAAGCCGAGAGGCGGCGGGAACCCACGUCAGGGUCUCGCCUUGUGCUGACUGCGACCCUGGUCCAAGUGGACUAUGGGGGAUCCCGGCUCCCUGGUCACGGAAGGCCGCGCGGGUGAACGGAGCUGGUGCUUGCGGCGAGUGGGGAUGAACACCGAGUGGCUGCUGCUGGAGGAUGGCAACGAGGUGACUGUAGGGCGAGGAUUUGGUGUUACAUACCAGUUGGUAUCAAAAAUCUGCCCUCUGAUGAUUUCCCGAAACCACUGUAUUUUGAAACAGAAUGCUGAGGGCCAGUGGACAAUUAUGGACAACAAGAGUCUGAAUGGUGUCUGGCUGAACAGAGAACGUCUAGAACCUUUAAAGGUCUAUUCUAUCCAUAAAGGAGAUCACAUCCAGCUUGGGGUACCUCUGGAAAAUAAGGAGAAUGCAGAGUAUGAAUAUGAAGUUACUGAAGAAGAUUGGGAGAGGAUUUAUCCUUGUCUUUCCCCCAAAAGUGACCAGAUGAUGGAAAAAAAUAAGGGCUUGAGAACUAAAAGGAAAUUGAGUUUGGAUGAAUUAGAGGGUUCUGGAGCUGAAGGCCCCUCAAAUUUGAAAUCCAAAAUAAGUAAAUUGUCUUGUGAACCUGCUCAGCAAGUGAAGUCACAUGGGAAGGGUAAAGUGGCCAGUCAACCUUCUGAAUAUUUGGAUCCUAAGUUGACUUCUUUUGAGCCAAGUGGGAAGACCACAGGGGCUCAUGUUAACCCAGGCCCUGCAAAAGUUAUAGAGCUUCUUCGUAAGAAGAAGAAAGCUUCAAAUCCUUCAGCAUCUCAGAGCAGCUUAGAGCUGUUUAGGGUAACCAUGUCCAGGAUCCUAAUGCUGAAAACACAGAUGCAGGAAAAACAGGUGGCUGUUCUGAAUGUGAAAAAGCAGACCAAAAAAGGGAGCUCAAAGAAGAUUGUGAAAAUGGAGCGGGAACUGCAGGAUUUACAGUCCCAGCUGUGUGCAGAGCAGGCCCAACAGCAGGCCAGAGUGGAGCAGCUCGAGAAGACUAUCCAGGAAGAGCAGCAGCAUCUCGAGGGUUUGGAGAAAGAGGAAGGCGAAGAGGACCUGAAGCAGCAGCUGGCCCAGGCUCUGCAGGAGUAUCGGUCUCUGAUGGAAGAGCUAAAUCGCAGCAAGAAAAACUUUGAAGCAAUCAUUCAAGCCAAGGACAAAGAAUUGGAGCAGACCAAGGAAGAGAAGGAGAAGGUGCAAGCACAGAAGGAGGAAGUUCUUAGCCACAUGAAUGACGUGCUAGAGAAUGAGCUCCAGUGCAUUAUUUGCUCAGAAUACUUCGUUGAGGCUGUCACCUUGAACUGUGCCCAUAGUUUCUGCUCCUACUGUAUCAAUGAGUGGAUGAAGCGGAAAGUAGAAUGCCCCAUUUGUCGGAAGGACAUCAAGUCCAAAACCCGCUCCCUGGUUCUGGACAAUUGCAUUAGUAAGAUGGUAGACAAUCUGAACUCAGAAGUGAAAGAACGACGAAUUGUCCUCAUCAGGGAACGAAAAGCCCUUCAGCAAAUAUCAGCCUCUUUGAAUCAGGCCAGAAAUCUGAUGCUGACUUGUAAGCAGCUGUAGUGUGGAAUGGGCCCUUGGUUGGUGAGCCAUUGCAGGGGCAGCAGACCAGUCACAGGGAAAGAGAUUGUUCUGAAGACAGUGCUCCAGGGACAGACUGCAGGGCACUGGGAACUUCAGAUGGUCUGGAAGAUUCUCUUGGACGGUCUUGGGCAGCUCUGAGAGCAUGGCAUGGACCCAGUGGGACAGAAUGAGUUAGAAAACCCUCCAUCACAAGCCUCCGCCUGGGCCGUCCCUGCUGCCACCAUUGUCUGAAGCCCCGACAGCUUCAGGGUCCUUGAGAGACUCUGUUCACUACAUGUUGUAUGGGUUAUAUAUUUCUGUUGUACUUUUUAAACUUGUUGUUGUUAUUGUUUGGGUACCUCAGAAGCACCUCUGUUGACAUUUGUUUGGGACAAAUUGGGUAUUACCCCUAUUGCUGCCCCCGAAGGCAAAGGCAGCCUCUAUUUGAGAGGAUGGCAUACCUCUUCUUUGUGAAAACAAGAUGUCAUUUCCUGAAAAUAAAAUGUAAAACCGA
RNA transcript from Bubalus bubalis (water buffalo), 2196 nucleotides. It is a transcript of the gene named ring finger protein 8, with no coding region annotated. The record is from RefSeq and is a predicted model, not a curated record. NCBI's taxonomy places the organism in Eukaryota, Metazoa, Chordata, Mammalia, Artiodactyla, Bovidae. The transcript is spliced from 9 exons.